This 62-nucleotide transfer RNA is filed under the name Kulikovia alborostrata. RNAcentral describes it as "tRNA-Cys". Lineage: Eukaryota; Metazoa; Nemertea; Pilidiophora; Heteronemertea; Lineidae. RNAcentral also lists the same sequence under 1 other name. The record is from RNAcentral.
GGCUUUAUAGUUGAAAAACAAUGUCAAAUUGCAGCUUUGAAGGUAUAAUUUUAUUAAGGCUU